This 401-nucleotide ribosomal RNA is filed under the name Escherichia coli. RNAcentral's name for it is "bacterial SSU rRNA". It matches the Rfam family "Bacterial small subunit ribosomal RNA", at positions 108 to 505 of the family's 1533-position model. Lineage: Bacteria; Pseudomonadati; Pseudomonadota; Gammaproteobacteria; Enterobacterales; Enterobacteriaceae. The record is from RNAcentral.
GAGUAAUGUCUGGGAAUCUGCCUGAUGGAGGGGGAUAACUACUGGAAACGGUAGCUAAUACCGCAUAAUGUCUACGGACCAAAGAGGGGGACCUUCGGGCCUCUUGCCAUCGGAUGUGCCCAGAUGGGAUUAGCUAGUAGGUGGGGUAACGGCUCACCUAGGCGACGAUCCCUAGCUGGUCUGAGAGGAUGACCAGCCACACUGGAACUGAGACACGGUCCAGACUCCUACGGGAGGCAGCAGUGGGGAAUAUUGCACAAUGGGCGCAAGCCUGAUGCAGCCAUGCCGCGUGUAUGAAGAAGGCCUUCGGGUUGUAAAGUACUUUCAGCGGGGAGGAAGGGAGUAAAGUUAAUACCUUUGCUCAUUGACGUUACCCGCAGAAGAAGCACCGGCUAACUCCG